CAAACAGAUACAUAAGCACAUACAAGGUGCUCAUCUCAGCUAGAUGCCUUGUUGGAGGGAUGGAGCAUCUACUGCUGGCUGCAGUGCUGCCAGGAGGUUGAAAUCCCCAUGCUGCUCACCAGCGAGGAAAAGUCAACUCCACAGAGGACCUAUAUUGGACUCCAGCUCUGCUAUAUUUCUAUCUCUACCAUCUACGGAGGGAGACUUGAACUUGCUGGAUA
RNAcentral lists this long non-coding RNA (221 nucleotides) under Phasianus colchicus (ring-necked pheasant). RNAcentral's name for it is "lncRNA (ENSPCLG00000000651.1)". Lineage: Eukaryota; Metazoa; Chordata; Aves; Galliformes; Phasianidae. The record is from RNAcentral.